Molecule: non-coding RNA, 76 nt
Organism: Ataeniobius toweri
Lineage: Eukaryota; Metazoa; Chordata; Actinopteri; Cyprinodontiformes; Goodeidae
Source: the annotation of a GenBank genome assembly
AGUGGGACUGUGGCUUAGUGGGAAGAGUAGUCGUCUUACAACUCGAAAGUUGUGGGUUCAAUUCCAGCUUCCUCUU